This 386-nucleotide ribosomal RNA is filed under the name Legionella pneumophila. RNAcentral's name for it is "bacterial SSU rRNA". It matches the Rfam family "Bacterial small subunit ribosomal RNA", at positions 1149 to 1533 of the family's 1533-position model. Lineage: Bacteria; Pseudomonadati; Pseudomonadota; Gammaproteobacteria; Legionellales; Legionellaceae. The record is from RNAcentral.
CUGCCGGUGACAAACCGGAGGAAGGCGGGGAUGACGUCAAGUCAUCAUGGCCCUUACGGGUAGGGCUACACACGUGCUACAAUGGCCGAUACAGAGGGCGGCGAAGGGGCGACCUGGAGCAAAUCCUUAAAAGUCGGUCGUAGUCCGGAUUGGAGUCUGCAACUCGACUCCAUGAAGUCGGAAUCGCUAGUAAUCGCGAAUCAGCAUGUCGCGGUGAAUACGUUCCCGGGCCUUGUACACACCGCCCGUCACACCAUGGGAGUGGGUUGCACCAGAAGUAGAUAGUCUAACCUUCGGGGGGACGUUUACCACGGUGUGGUUCAUGACUGGGGUGAAGUCGUAACAAGGUAGCCGUAGGGGAACCUGCGGCUGGAUCACCUCCUUAC